Molecule: ribosomal RNA, 388 nt
Filed under: uncultured bacterium
Lineage: Bacteria
Description: bacterial SSU rRNA
Rfam family: Bacterial small subunit ribosomal RNA
Source: RNAcentral
AUUGAACGCUGGCGGCAGGCCUAACACAUGCAAGUCGAGCGGUAGAGAGGUGCUUGCAUCUCUUGAGAGCGGCGGACGGGUGAGUAAUGCCUAGGAAUCUGCCUAGUGGUGGGGGAUAACGUUCGGAAACGGACGCUAAUACCGCAUACGUCCUACGGGAGAAAGCGGGGGAUCUUCGGACCUCGCGCCAUUAGAUGAGCCUAGGUCGGAUUAGCUAGUUGGUGAGGUAAUGGCUCACCAAGGCGACGAUCCGUAACUGGUCUGAGAGGAUGAUCAGUCACACUGGAACUGAGACACGGUCCAGACUCCUACGGGAGGCAGCAGUGGGGGAAUAUUGGACAAUGGCGAAAGCCUGAUCCAGCCAUGCCGCGUGUGUGAAGAAGGUCUU